RNAcentral lists this long non-coding RNA (984 nucleotides) under Homo sapiens (human). RNAcentral describes it as "HSALNT0195933". The record is from RNAcentral. Lineage: Eukaryota; Metazoa; Chordata; Mammalia; Primates; Hominidae.
GGGAGGGAGGGCCGGGUCAGCCUGCCUGAGGAUUGCAGUAGCCAGUGAAGGCAGACAAGCUGGAGAAGUGCUCAGCUGGGACGCUGGGACAAAGAACCUUGUGUUGAUGGCUGCUCUGGGUGGGGGAGGGCAUUCUCUGCUGGGCCAUGUGGGACUUGGGAGCCUGUGCCUGGGAGGUCAUUUGCCCUGGAGCCCCAUCUCCCACGCUAGCUGUCCUCAACACAUCCUCUUUCUUUCUGCCUCUGAUCCUGAAUCCACAAGCCUCCCUUGCUACUCUUCUCCCAUCCUUCCCUCUCGCCCUCCAGGGCCUCUGAGUUCCCACGAGCGUGUCUGUGGGAAACCAUGGGGCCAGGCUUGCACGAGGUACCUGCCCUUCCCCUCCCCUGCUGGGCCUCCCCAGUCCUGCCAGGCCUGAGAUGUUUAAUUUAGAGGAUUCAGUGUUUCCUUGGGGAUUGAUAUUGACAGAACUCACCAGCAGCUGCUGACUUCAUACUUCCACGUGGGUCAGCUGGAGACCUUUGGGGCAUGACCUAGGGAAUAUGAGAGGGGAGUGAACGGUCCCUGCACCCUUGGCCCUGAUGGUGUCUCCUAGCCUCCCUUCAGCUGAGGUUUCAUGGUGGGAGACAGGAGUGUGGCUGGGGUGGAGGGUUGAGCCUGGCCCUGUGACCCUUGCGUGCUAUAGUUCCAGCUCCAGGCCAGUGGUUCUGAGCAGCCAUGGUCAGAAGCAAGUAAGUUGGAUUCAGGGCCUGGCCUGAGGGAGCUGUGCCCCGGUGCUUUUAAGGCUGCCGUUUUCUCAGACAGCCUGUGUCCUGAUGCCAGGAGAAGCAGCAGUGGUUUUAGUCAGAUCCCUGGAGCAAGGAUGUGGAAGACGUAGAGGACUUGGGGUGUAGGAAAGCUGGGAUUGUCCGGAGGGACAUGGCCGAGUUGGGCCAGUGUCCGAGGCGGGUUCAGCAGCCCCUGGGGCUGGCUCUCCCUCCAUUUGUG